RNAcentral lists this ribosomal RNA (452 nucleotides) under uncultured bacterium. RNAcentral describes it as "bacterial SSU rRNA". It matches the Rfam family "Bacterial small subunit ribosomal RNA", at positions 28 to 485 of the family's 1533-position model. The record is from RNAcentral.
GACGAACGCUGGCGGCGUGCUUAACACAUGCAAGUCAAGGGGGCCCAGUAGCAAUACUGGGCAACCGGCGAACGGGUGCGUAACACGUGAGCAACCUACCGAAAUGUGGGGGAUAGCCGGCCUAACGGCCGAGUAAUACCGCAUACGCUCUCGAUGAGGCAUUUCAUUGAGAGGAAACCUACGGGACAUUUCGAGGGGCUCGCGGCCUAUCAGCUAGUUGGCGAGGAACGGCUCACCAAGGCAACGACGGGUAGCUGGUCUGAGAGGAUGGCCAGCCACAUUGGGACUGAGAUACGGCCCAGACUCCUACGGGAGGCAGCAGUGGGGAAUCUUGCGCAAUGGCCUAACGGCUGACGCAGCGACGCCGCGUGUAGGAUGAAGCUCUUCGGAGUGUAAACUACUGUUGCCCGGGACGAAUAGCUCGAUUAAUCGAGCCUGACGGUACCGGGUGA